Molecule: ribosomal RNA, 253 nt
Filed under: uncultured bacterium
Lineage: Bacteria
Description: partial 16S ribosomal RNA
Rfam family: Bacterial small subunit ribosomal RNA
Source: RNAcentral
UACGGGGGGGGCAAGCGUUGUUCGGAAUUACUGGGCGUAAAGGGCUCGUAGGCGGCCAACUAAGUCAGACGUGAAAUCCCUCGGCUUAACCGGGGAACUGCAUCUGAUACUGGAUGGCUUGAGAUUGGGAGAGGGAUGCGGAAUUCCAGGUGUAGCGGUGAAAUGCGUAGAUAUGCGGAGGAACACCGAUGGCGAAGGCAAUCCCCUGGACCUGUACUGACGCUCAUGCACGAAAGCGUGGGGAGCAAACAGG